Molecule: ribosomal RNA, 465 nt
Filed under: uncultured bacterium
Lineage: Bacteria
Description: partial 16S ribosomal RNA
Rfam family: Bacterial small subunit ribosomal RNA
Source: RNAcentral
CCUACGGGAGGCAGCAGUGGGGAAUAUUGCGCAAUGGGCGAAAGCCUGACGCAGCGACGCCGCGUGAGGGAUGAAGGUUUUCGGAUCGUAAACCUCUGUCAGCAGGGAAGAACGGUCACUGUGCUAAUCAGCAGUGAAUUGACGGUACCUGCACAGGAAGCACCGGCUAACUCCGGGCCAGCAGCCGCGGUAAUACGGAGGGUGCGCGCGUUAAUCGGAAUUACGGGGCGUAAAGCGUGCGUAGGCGGUAUGUCAAGUCAAGGGUGAAAUCCCCGCGCUCAACGUGGGAACUGCCUUUGAAACUGGCAAACUGGAGUGUGGGAGAGGAUAGUGGAAUUCCAGGUGUAGGAGUGAAAUCCGUAGAUAUCUGGAGGAACAUCAGUGGCGAAGGCGACUAUCUGGCACAUAACUGACGCUGAGGAGCGAAAGCGUGGGUAGCAAACAGGAUUAGAUACCCCAGUAGUC